RNAcentral lists this long non-coding RNA (327 nucleotides) under Elaeis guineensis (African oil palm). Its description in RNAcentral is "long non-coding RNA (EGUI_LNC001037)". Lineage: Eukaryota; Viridiplantae; Streptophyta; Magnoliopsida; Arecales; Arecaceae. The record is from RNAcentral.
CGGCCCACUUGCGAUAAAACUACCAUUCUUUGUAACGUCAAGAACGCUGGUUGGCAGGUCCAGUAUUCCCUGCGCGUGGGUGGAAGCCGAUACAUAUCCACACACCGACAGCAGCCAGCGACCGUAAAAACAGGCACCGGCCACUUCAAUAUGGCGCCACAAGGACUGCUUGGGGAGUGGGGACCCAAUCCUAAUGUCAAGACGCACAAACCCUGCAGCUACGUAUCACAACGCCAUUGGCGGCGUGACGUGUACCGCUUCUCUAAUGCCAGAAGGCACACCAUAUUCUUUUCUUUAUUUUUCUUUCUUUAUUCCUUUGAUUCCGGC